GACGAACGCUGGCGGCGUGCUUAACACAUGCAAGUCGAACGGAAAGGCCCUGCUUUUGUGGGGUGCUCGAGUGGCGAACGGGUGAGUAACACGUGAGUAACCUGCCCUUGACUUUGGGAUAACUUCAGGAAACUGGGGCUAAUACCGGAUAGGAGCUCCUGCUGCAUGGUGGGGGUUGGAAAGUUUCGGCGGUUGGGGAUGGACUCGCGGCUUAUCAGCUUGUUGGUGGGGUAGUGGCUUACCAAGGCUUUGACGGGUAGCCGGCCUGAGAGGGUGACCGGCCACAUUGGGACUGAGAUUCCGCCCCGACUCCUACGGGAGGCAGCAGGUGGGAAUAUUGCCCAAUGGGCCGAAGCCUGAUGCAGCAACGCCGCGUGGCGGAUGACGGCCUUCGGGUUGGAAACCGCUUUCGCCUGUGACGAAGCCUGGGUGACGGUAAUGGGUAAAGAAGCACCGGCUAACUACGUG
Molecule: ribosomal RNA, 468 nt
Filed under: uncultured bacterium
Lineage: Bacteria
Description: partial 16S ribosomal RNA
Rfam family: Bacterial small subunit ribosomal RNA
Source: RNAcentral